This 399-nucleotide transfer-messenger RNA is filed under the name Candidatus Omnitrophota. RNAcentral describes it as "JALOBQ01 sp023228185 Standard tmRNA". It matches the Rfam family "transfer-messenger RNA". Rfam says of the family: Bacterial tmRNA, also known as 10Sa RNA or SsrA, is named for its dual tRNA and mRNA-like properties. Its role is to liberate the mRNA from a stalled ribosome. RNAcentral also lists the same sequence under 1 other name. Lineage: Bacteria; Pseudomonadati. The record is from RNAcentral.
GGGGGUGAAAGGGUUCGACUUAAGCUAGUCGGAUAAAAGCAGCAUGCCGCGGACGUAAGGUUAGCCGCGUUAUCAACCCUUACAAAACAUAAACGCAAGAACACUACCCGUGUUCAGCCGUGCACCAAUGGCAACAUUGAUGCCAGCUGGCGUAUCAGUCCCACUUUUUAAUUAAGUGGGCCUCUCUUUGGGCUUGCCUGUAGCCUGAAUGUAGAGCCCUAACAGGCUAGUUCCUGCUGGUUAGCCUUUAGAAGCGGGAACGAAAUUAUUAAAAGGCUGCGCUUUAGGUGAUCCUGUUUAGCGGAGCGCCUAGAGUUAAGCGUAAAAGAUAAACUAAGCAUGUAGCGGCUCUUAUUUGGCUGCCUGAGGACCGGGGUCCAAUUCCCCGCACCUCCACCA